Molecule: ribosomal RNA, 486 nt
Filed under: uncultured bacterium
Lineage: Bacteria
Description: partial 16S ribosomal RNA
Rfam family: Bacterial small subunit ribosomal RNA
Source: RNAcentral
AUUGAACGCUGGCGGCAUGCCUUACACAUGCAAGUCGAACGGCAGCACGGGUGCUUGCACCUGGUGGCGAGUGGCGAACGGGUGAGUAAUACAUCGGAACACGUCCUGUAGUGGGGGAUAGCCUGGCGAAAGCCGGAUUAAUACCGCAUACGAUCUACGGAUGAAAUCGGGGGACCUUCGGGCCUCGCGCGGUAGGGGUGGCCGAUGGCUGAUUAGCUAGUUGUGGGGGUAAAGGCCUACCAAGGCGACGUUCAGUAGCUGGUCUGAGAGGACGACCAGCCACACUGGGACUGAGACACGGCCCAGACUCCUACGGGAGGCAGCAGUGGGGAAUUUUGGACAAUGGGCGAAAGCCUGAUCCAGCAAUGCCGCGUGUGUGAAGAAGGCCUUCGGGUUGUAAAGCACUUUUGUCCGGAAAGAAAUCCUUGGCCCUAAUACGGUCGGGGGAUGACGGUACCGGAAGAAUAAGCACCGGCUAACUACGUG